GUUAAGAAUACAGAUUUGCAUUUCUAACACUAUUGAAUUCCUUUAAUACUGCUAGAAGCUGAUGUUUCAAUUUAUUUCCAUUACACCAGUUUCCUGCUGAGAGCAUCAAUAUUGUUUUCAGUGAGUUACACUUGUUGUUAGACUCAUCUUUCCUGCAUAAUCCUGCUUGGGAAGCACAGGCUUACUCCCCAUAAUAUUUUAUGUUGGC
Pelobates cultripes (western spadefoot toad) is the source of this 208-nucleotide non-coding RNA. The record is from the annotation of a GenBank genome assembly. Lineage: Eukaryota; Metazoa; Chordata; Amphibia; Anura; Pelobatidae.